RNAcentral lists this ribosomal RNA (383 nucleotides) under Portunus pelagicus (sand crab). RNAcentral describes it as "partial 12S ribosomal RNA". It matches the Rfam family "Microsporidia small subunit ribosomal RNA", at positions 752 to 1210 of the family's 1311-position model. The record is from RNAcentral. Lineage: Eukaryota; Metazoa; Arthropoda; Malacostraca; Decapoda; Portunidae.
GAAAGGUUUUUCUAAAAAUACCUGAGUAGUAACAGAUAUAUUCUAAAAAUUUGAAAAAUUUGGCGGUGGUUUAGUCUUGUCAAAGGAACCUGUCUUUUAAACGAUACACCACGAAAUAUCUUACUUGAGUUCGUGCAGUAUGUAUACCAUCAUUAUUAGGUAAUUUUUAUAGAAUAAAUUACUGAAAAAUGUCCAUAAUGUUGAAUAUAUUAGAUCAAGGUGCAGCUAAUGCUCAAGUUAAGAUGGGUUACAAUAGUAUUUAUACUAUUACGGAUAAGUAAGUGAAACUUUACUUUGAAGGAGGAUUUGAUUGUAAUUUUAGUUUAAUAAGCUAAUUUGAUAUAAGCUCUAAAGCAUGUACGCACCGCCCGUCACCCUCUAAA